Molecule: ribosomal RNA, 253 nt
Filed under: uncultured bacterium
Lineage: Bacteria
Description: partial 16S ribosomal RNA
Rfam family: Bacterial small subunit ribosomal RNA
Source: RNAcentral
UACAGAGGGUGCAAGCGUUGUUCGGAAUUAUUGGGCGUAAAGCGCGUGUAGGCGGCUUGGCAAGUCGGUUGUGAAAUCCCGGGGCCCAACCCCGGAACUGCAUUCGAAACUGCCUCGCUAGAGUCCCGGAGGGGAAGGCGGAAUUCCCGGUGUAGAGGUGAAAUUCGUAGAUAUCGGGAGGAACACCAGCGGCGAAGGCGGCCUUCUGGACGGUGACUGACGCUGAGACGCGAAAGCGUGGGGAGCAAACAGG